GUGGGUAUAGCUCAGGUGGUUAGAGCGCUAGUUUGUGGCACUAGAGGCCGUCGGUUCGAGUCCGAUUACCCACCCCA
This 77-nucleotide transfer RNA is filed under the name Oscillospiraceae bacterium. Its description in RNAcentral is "tRNA-His". It matches the Rfam family "tRNA". Rfam says of the family: Transfer RNA (tRNA) molecules are approximately 80 nucleotides in length. Their secondary structure includes four short double-helical elements and three loops (D, anti-codon, and T loops). Lineage: Bacteria; Bacillati; Bacillota; Clostridia; Eubacteriales; Oscillospiraceae. The record is from RNAcentral.